UGAUCCUGGCUCAGAUUGAACGCUGGCGGUAGGCUUAACACAUGCAAGUCGUGCGAGAAAGUAUCUUCGGAUAUGAGUAGAGCGGCGGACGGGUGGGUAACGCGUAGGAAUCUACCUAGUAGAAGGGGAUAGCCCGGGGAAACCCGGAUUAAUACCGUAUACCUCCUUCGGGAGAAAGAAGGCCUCUCUUUGAAGCUUUCGCUACUAGAUGAGCCUGCGUAAGAUUAGCUUGUUGGUGAGGUAAAGGCUCACCAAGGCGACGAUCUUUAGCUGGUCUGAGAGGACGAUCAGCCACAUUGGGACUGAGACACGGCCCAGACUCCUACGGGAGGCAGCAGUGGGGAAUAUUGGACAAUGGGCGCAAGCCUGAUCCAGCCAUACCGCGUGUGUGAAGAAGGCCUUCGGGUUGUAAAGCACUUUAAGCAGGGAGAAAAAGUUAUAAGUUAAUACCUUAUAACCCUGAUGUUACCUGCAGAAUAAGCACCGGCUAAUUCCGUGCCAGCAGCCGCGGUAAUACGGAAGGUGCAAGCGUUAAUCGGAAUUACUGGGCGUAAAGCGCGCGUAGGUGGUUUGUUAAGUUGGAUGUGAAAGCCCUGGGCUUAACCUAGGAACUGCAUCCAAAACUAACUCACUAGAGUACGAUAGAGGGAGGUAGAAUUCAUAGUGUAGCGGUGGAAUGCGUAGAUAUUAUGAAGAAUACCAGUGGCGAAGGCGGCCUCCUGGAUCUGUACUGACACUGAGGUGCGAAAGCGUGGGUAGCGAACAGGAUUAGAUACCCUGGUAGU
Molecule: ribosomal RNA, 785 nt
Filed under: uncultured marine bacterium
Lineage: Bacteria
Description: bacterial SSU rRNA
Rfam family: Bacterial small subunit ribosomal RNA
Source: RNAcentral